GUGGAGCAACCCUAGCCAAGUAUAACACUACAGGGAGACUUCUCUACUUCUUUCCUCUGCACGCUGGUCCGGAGAAGUUCCUGCCAAACCAUCGAAGCGAGGAUAUUGGGGGACCAUAAAAGGCCGCUUUUUUUCAACAGAACCCUGUGACAUUGGCUUCCUCAGUUGUCUCUCUGGGAGGCCAUUGGCAGCAAGUCUGGCAAUGUUUCCUCUCUGGACCGUCUAACGGGACAUAUUUUUUGCAAGAGCUAAAUAAUAGAUUAUAAAGGUUGAAACACUAUGACACAGAUUUUUAUGUUUAGGUCAUAACUAAAGACGAGCCCUCUUGCCGUUCAAGAAGGGAAUUAACGAAAACAUGCUUUCUUGCCCUGUGCAUCUUUGAUAUGGCAGAGUGAUCUGCAGGUGAUAAUUUAACUCAUAUUGGAUUUUUUAUUCUAUAUGAAAAAGUCUCCUAUCCAUGGAGUGGGUGAAACCAAAAGGAAAGGGGGAGAAGGUCCCCUUUAUAUUUUAGGAAGAUGAAGAAGGAAAGAAGCCUGCACCCUGAGAGGAUUCUAGAAUUCAAAAAAACCAAGAAUGAUUCUCAUUUCAAAGACAAGAAGAUGCCCACGUGUUCUUUGGCCAGAUGAAGGACUUUGUGGGAGCCCGGCGGUGUAGGCUUUUAAAAAGCCCUAAGCCUCAUGGCUGCUCUCCCAAAGAGAAAUGGCGGAAGCCUCCAGUCCUGUGCGGAAGGAAUUCUGCUCCUGUCUUGCUGGAGAUCCUCACCCUGCCUGGGAAGGAUCAGACUGGCGCUGGCUUUGGAGUCACUUGGGGCCUUCAGUCAACUGUGGAGGUGGAACAAUGAAGUCUUUCAUGUGAAAGAAAAAAAAGAAAACUCCCUGUGUGCAGUGAUCUCUCUCUCUCUCCUUUUCUGUAUCACUGUGAACAUACUAAAAGAAACAAAAGGAAAGGAUCAACCCCUUUUCCAGUGGUCAAAAGAAAACAUAAGUAUCAGAAAUUGGCAGCAUCAGAUAUCUCUGGAACUGGGCAUUAAACAGAG
Molecule: long non-coding RNA, 1036 nt
Organism: Lynx canadensis (Canada lynx)
Lineage: Eukaryota; Metazoa; Chordata; Mammalia; Carnivora; Felidae
Exons: 5
Source: RefSeq, a predicted model, not a curated record